Non-coding RNA from Elaeis guineensis (African oil palm), 784 nucleotides. Lineage: Eukaryota; Viridiplantae; Streptophyta; Magnoliopsida; Arecales; Arecaceae. The record is from RefSeq and is a predicted model, not a curated record.
CAUAGGAAUCAAUAGAACAGGCAAAUCUCUCAAUAAUAUGCAGAUAAGUGGGUCUCAAAGAUCUUGUUUCAAAUAUUCCUGUCUACAAUGGAGCUAGUGGUAAUGGUUCCACCUUGUGAGAGGUGUAAACCUGCUGCUUCUCUAUUGUAAUUAAAAUGUGGCCUUGCUUCCAGAGGAGGCAUCCGGAGAACUGAGCUUGACUUUGAGGCGUUGGUCCACAAAAAUUGGUCGUGUCUCCAUGUCCAACAACCGAGGUGAGAAGUUUGGCAGAGAGGGAGAGUCAUUCCUUGGAACAUCAUUGGAUGGGAAAGGAUCUCAAAUUAUACGUAUGUCCUGAAAGAAGGGAAUGUGAGGUUUGAACGCCACAAGUUGAGCGGCUGCAAGUGGGUGCAUGUUGAUCCCAAGGUCAUCUUCUUCACCCCAUUUAUGCAAGUGCUGCUGCUAAAGCUGAUGCUGAGAGCCAGUUAUGCUAGUUAUAAGCAUUCAACCUGGGUGAAACAAUUCUUUUAUCUCUUGAUAGGCUCCAGCAUAACUAAGUUUUGUAAUAACAUGUUGGAUUUAUAUAUUUCAAAAAUCAUUGCUUAACAGACAGAGGUGGAUGCCAAUGAUUCAAAUUGGAAACUCAGCCAUGCUCUAAGUGCUUGGUUACUUGAUUAGCAUGCUAUAGCAUAAUGAUUUUGGUUCAAAGCUAAAACUGUAAAACAUUAUGUAAGACACUUAAAGGCAAAGUGUGUUGAUCAAAUUAUUGCACGUCUUGUUAAAAAACAAAAAUGCUUGAAGUUCU